UCCUAGUGCAACACCUGGGUUCUGGAGUG
This 29-nucleotide non-coding RNA is filed under the name Homo sapiens (human). Lineage: Eukaryota; Metazoa; Chordata; Mammalia; Primates; Hominidae. The record is from RNAcentral.